GUGCCAGCAUCCGCGGUAAUACGUAGGUGGCAAGCGUUGUCCGGAAUUAAUGGGCGUAAAGCGCGCGCAGGCGGUUCCUUAAGUCUGAUGUGAAAGCUCACGGCUCAACCGUGGAGGGUCAUUGGAAACUGGGGAACUUGAGUGCAGAAGAGGAGAGUGGAAUUCCAAGUGUAGCGGUGAAAUGCGUAGAGAUUUGGAGGAACUCCAGUGGCGAAGGCGACUUUCUGGUCUGUAACUGACGCUGAGGCGCGAAAGCGUGGGGAGCAAACAGGAUUAGAUACCCGCGUAGUCC
This 292-nucleotide ribosomal RNA is filed under the name uncultured prokaryote. Its description in RNAcentral is "partial 16S ribosomal RNA". It matches the Rfam family "Bacterial small subunit ribosomal RNA", at positions 505 to 796 of the family's 1533-position model. The record is from RNAcentral.